UGCAGUGGAAUAAGAGCUGUCGAGCUACUGCAAUGAUGGACAUAUUGCUGGAAACCAACUAAAGAGAACAAUGUGCCAGAGGUAUCCUGUGUAUAACAAGGAAAAAAAAUAUAUAUAUAGAGAGAGAAAUAGAACUCUUUCUUGAACACCGAGAAACAGAGACAGCUUCCCAUCUGCAGCAUCAACCCAUGUGUGGGCUACACAGGUGAAAUGAGUAGCCAAACAUCUUUCAGGCUUUUUUCACACGCUGUUACUUCCAUUUGGAACUUGCCUGCUGUUGCUAGAUCAUCAUUAACACAUAGGGGACAGAGCACUAUAUAUAUAUAUUUAAGAAGGAGAGUUAAGAAGCUUACAGGGAUGGGAAGAACAACAUUUACUGAAGAAGAAGAUGAAAAUCUGUCCUGCAAAAAUCUCAACUGGAAAAAGGACACUUGUUCAGGCUCCUGAUAUCCUAAAUUAGAAGAGCCCUUUUGAAGCCUAAGGAAUUAGGAAUUUGGGGCCAUGUUGACUUGAAAAGACCUUUUCCUACUUCUUUGAAUGUCCUAUCACCAACUCAGGAAAAGUAAAUACCCACACUACCCCCAUGCUCCAUUCAAGUAUGUGAAGUGUAAUUGGAAUAGGCUCAAAUUAAGAGCAGAUGAAAAAUAUAGACCAAGAUGACAGGAUUUUCUUCAUCAGCUUUUUGAUGUUUUUGAGACAUUUUCAAGAUGCAUUAUCUUAGUCAAGAAUUCCUGAUCCCCUCCACUAUGAUGACAAAGUUCAACUUUGAGUCAUUUUAGGAUGUAAUUGCCACAAAGGGAAUGCAAACUGGGAGAGCCGGACUAGGUAUUUAUCAUUGUCCAACUUACUGCAUCUCAAAAACUGCUAAUUUUGACCAACUGGUAUGGGUCCUGGCCAGAGGCCUCUUUCUUUACACAUACCACCCUACAUGUUAGCAGGAGCUUCUCCAGGUAUGAAAUGGCAAACCUAGGCACUGAAGUAAUUUAGGAAAUGCAGAUAAUAACUAGCCAUGUCAUCUUUUCCAAGAAGAAUCUUGUUUCUUUAAAUCUCAAGCUUGUUAUUAAUAACAUUGUGCUAAUUAACCAGUUCUAAAAUGCGCAAAAAAAGGUCAGUUUAUGAAAUAAUUCAUGAAGUAUAAUCAGAAUGAUAGGAAAUAUGGCAGCUGGGCGUUCUGCAUGGUGAUGCCAAGUUACAUUACACAUGUACAUUUCUUCCUCAGUGGCAACUCAAUUCAAGGCUUCAGAAGUUCCAGGUGUUUUGAUAAAAGUCAGGCUAUGACAGGUGAACAUAUUUCAGAAAGAAAGAAAGAUAGCAAAAGGAAAAUAACAUAUUUUUCCUUGCCAUUACUGUAAAUUAUUUACCAUGGAUUUCUUGCCUAGAAUUUCACAGAUAUUAAACAGAAAAGCAUCUUUCCAACAUUACCUAGGUAAUCCAUUUCUGUAGUGAUCUGCUGUGCCUCAGUGAAAAGCCUAAAUAUACUCAGAGUUAUUUGUUUAGUUGCUAGAAAAAUACAUGUGCCAAUAAACACCGGCUUUCAGCUAAGACUAAUGACCA
Molecule: long non-coding RNA, 1554 nt
Organism: Anser brachyrhynchus (Pink-footed goose)
Lineage: Eukaryota; Metazoa; Chordata; Aves; Anseriformes; Anatidae
Source: Ensembl